Molecule: small nuclear RNA, 107 nt
Organism: Heteronotia binoei (common prickly gecko)
Lineage: Eukaryota; Metazoa; Chordata; Lepidosauria; Squamata; Gekkonidae
Source: RefSeq, a predicted model, not a curated record
CUGCUAAAUUUGACAGCGCAUAUAGUAAAAUUGGAACAAUACAGAGAAGACCAGCAUGGCCCCUGUGUGAGGAUGGCGUGCAAAUUCAAGUCUGAAUAUCAAGUAAA